CAGUCGCCGCGGUAAUACGGAGGGGGCUAGCGUUGUUCGGAAUUACUGGGCGUAAAGCGCACGUAGGCGGCUUUGUAAGUUAGAGGUGAAAGCCUGGAGCUCAACUCCAGAAUUGCCUUUAAGACUGCAUCGCUUGAAUCCAGGAGAGGUGAGUGGAAUUCCGAGUGUAGGGGUGAAAUUCGUAGAUAUUCGGAAGAACACCAGUGGCGAAGGCGGCUCACUGGACUGGUAUUGACGCUGAGGUGCGAAAGCGUGGGGAGCAAACAGGAUUAGAUACCCCGGUAGUCCCUGUCUCUUAUAC
RNAcentral lists this ribosomal RNA (301 nucleotides) under uncultured bacterium. Its description in RNAcentral is "partial 16S ribosomal RNA". It matches the Rfam family "Bacterial small subunit ribosomal RNA", at positions 509 to 807 of the family's 1533-position model. The record is from RNAcentral.